GGCGCGGGGCUCUGCCUGGGCUCCGCCCGGGCUGCCGGAGGGUCGCGGCGGCGGCGCAGCGCGGCCCGGCUCCGCUCCGCUCCGCUCCGCUCCGCUCCGCUCCAGCGCCUGGGACGCGCCCGGCCGUGGCGCGCUCAGAAAGCCCCGACAGAUCCGGCAUCGCUUCCGUGGCGGGGACCGGAAGCUUUCCGGAAGCUUCUCUUUCGUUUGAAGCCAUGCUGGAAGGACGAGGAAGGGUUUAAGGACAGAGCGUAAGGCAGGCGCCCUGCGCUCUGAGGGGAAAUGACUUUAAAAGGAACUAUCAAACUGGCUUAUCCUCAGGUGAUGAGUCUGACGUGUCCUAGUGAGCUCCUGCUGUCACUCCGAUAGAGUCCAAACUGCUGUGGGAAUGAAGAAAACAGGAAUAAUACUAGCACUGGGCUGGCCAGAGCACACUUAUGUUCCCCACAUCAGGGCCUGUGCCAGUCAUGUUAACCACAACACAAGCCAUCCUGAAAUCUUAGUAUUGCACUUCUGCUGCAAAGAUUUCAAGGACUAUCGAUGGAUUGGCAGCUCAGCUAAGAAGCCAAGCUUUAAUACGUAUGCACAAGCAAACUCAUAUACACACUUACACAUACUUGAGGGAAGUAUAGAGGAAGACACCCUUAAAACUAUAUUUAGUUGCAGAGGAAAUGUUUUUUAAAAGCUCUUCAUUCAUCUGGAAAAUAUCUCAAUGUUAGUAAAGUCAUUACAAACCUGGAUUAUCUAGUUAAUAUUGUAACUGCUGUCUGCUUCAGUCAGUCCAGGCUAAGAACAAGAUUUGAAUGGUAUCUCACUUACGAGCUAGGUCUGCAAAACUGCUAAUGCCAUUCAGAUCUCAGCCACUGUGGUACUAGAAAACAGAACAAAAGAGAAGCCAUAUUAAUUUCCUGCAUCACAAUUGUGUGUACCUUGAUUUCCAGAGGGUUAGCAUCUCGGCUGGCCCCAGUUCCUAACUGUUCCCUGCUGGGUGAACACAGUUCUUAGAAUCACAUUCCAGUAAAGAUAACUCUGAGUACGAUUCUGGCAUCCCCUUCCUGUGCAAAGGUUACUGUAUUUGCCUGAAAUUUUUUCAGUAAGAUCUGUGCCCAUUAGCUUCUUCCUGAGAAUGUGGUAACAAAGAUAUUUUAUUUUUAUAUAUAUACACUAUAUAUACUAUAUAUAUAUAUAUAUAUAUACACACACAAGGUGUGUAAAUACACACACACACACACCCCCCUUGUGAAACCUUACUUCAUUCAGCUCAAAAGGAACACAACCCAGCUGAGUAAUAUUUGAAACAAAUCACAGAAUCACAGAAGGGUUGAGGUUGGAAGAGACUUCUGGAGAUCAUCUAAUCCAAUUCCUCUGCUCAAGCAGGGUCACCUAGAGCACGUUGCCCAGGAUUGUGUUCAGAUGGCUUUUGACUAUCUCCAGAGAAGGAGGCUCCACAACCUCUCUGCACAACCUGUUCCAGUGCUCUGUCACCCUCACAGUAAAAAAGUUUUUCCUCAUGUUCAGAUGGAACUUCCUGUGUUUCAGUUUGUGCCUGUUGCCUCUCGUCCUAUCGCUGGGCACCACUGAGAAGAGUCUGGUCCCAUCCUCUCGACACCCUCCCUUCAGAUACUUAUACACAUUGAUAAGAUCCCCCCCUUAGUCUUCUCAGCUUCAGGCUGAACAGUCCC
Apteryx owenii (little spotted kiwi) is the source of this 1682-nucleotide long non-coding RNA. The record is from Ensembl. NCBI's taxonomy places the organism in Eukaryota, Metazoa, Chordata, Aves, Apterygiformes, Apterygidae.